RNAcentral lists this ribosomal RNA (463 nucleotides) under uncultured bacterium. Its description in RNAcentral is "partial 16S ribosomal RNA". It matches the Rfam family "Bacterial small subunit ribosomal RNA", at positions 28 to 507 of the family's 1533-position model. The record is from RNAcentral.
GAUGAACGCUGACAGAAUGCUUAACACAUGCAAGUCGAUGGGGAAGUGGUGCUUGCACCCUGGCAACCAUGGCGGACGGGUGAGUAACGCGUAAGGGACUUACCUGCAGGACUGGGAUAACAGUGGGAAACUCCUGACAAGACCGGAUAAUGUCAUGGAGCUGCAUGGCUUUCUGAUGAAAGGAGACGCCUGCGGAGAGCCUUGCGUCCUAUUAGCUAGUUGGUGAGGUAAUGGCUCACCAAGGCGAAGAUAGGUAGCCGGCCUGAGAGGGUGGACGGCCACAAGGGGACUGAGAUACGGCCCUUACUCCUACGGGAGGCAGCAGUGGGGAAUAGUGGACAAUGGGGGCAACCCUGAUCCAGCAAUUCUGUGUGCACGAAGAAGGUUUUCGGAUUGUAAAGUGCUUUCAGCAGGGAAGAAGUAAGUGACGGUACCUGCAGAAGAAGCGACGGCUAAAUACGUG